CAGUCGCCGCGGGAAUACGGAGGGCGCGAGCGUUACCCGGAUUUACUGGGCGUAAAGGGCGUGUAGGCGGCCUGGGGCGUCCCAUGUGGAAGGCCACGGCUCAACCGUGGAGGAGCGUGGGAUACGCUCAGGCUAGAGGGUGGGAGAGGGUGGUGGAAUUCCCGGAGUAGCGGUGAAAUGCGCAGAUACCGGGAGGAACGCCGAUGGCGAAGGCAGCCACCUGGUCCACUUCUGACGCUGAGGCGCGAAAGCGUGGGGAGCAAACCGGAUUAGAUACCCGUGUAGUCCCUGUCUCUUAUAC
RNAcentral lists this ribosomal RNA (301 nucleotides) under uncultured bacterium. RNAcentral describes it as "partial 16S ribosomal RNA". It matches the Rfam family "Bacterial small subunit ribosomal RNA", at positions 509 to 807 of the family's 1533-position model. The record is from RNAcentral.